UAUUAAUCUAAUAAUAUAGCCUCUUUCAUUGUUUUGACUUUUUGAAGAUUGGGUACCCUGUGUUACAGGUGUAUUUGAGAACCCGCUGUUCAGUUUAUCUGCAGUAAUUGUUGACUUGUAUACUCCUGMAGGCUCCUGUUGAUGAUUGCUUAUGUCUGACUUUUGAUUGAUAUUUACGACUUUUGCUUUCGCCGUUCGUUUCAUCUAAUCUGUUCACUGUUCAGCUUCUGUCAUCAUAUUGCCCGUGGUGUCAGAAUUGGCCACGAACCACAUCCGCCUCGAAAUGAGCUCUAGUGGUGCCAAAAACAUGGCGGACCUCGAAGCUGAACAAGAGCUAUUUCUCGAAGAUGGCACUGAAUUGGGCCCUUCGCUUACUAAAGAACGAACUUUAGCCAGUAUGCUUAAGAAAAAGACUUUGCCUAUGUAUCUACAAUUUGUUUUCUUCGGAAUGGGAACUGUUUUGCCAAUAUUUGUCAUAUUCGCUGCCGUGGACUACUUCGACGACAUCUUCCCAAAAAGCGAACCAGAGUUCGCUCUGAACGUGAUUUACAACCCGCUACUCUUCUGCGGUUCGUUUGCCAACCUCGUUUGGGGAAGAGGAUCUAGUUUCAAGUGGCGAAUUGUGUAUAGCUUCGCUGUCAUGGCAUUAUCGAUGUUGGGGUUUAUCGCUUUUGAUAGGCUUGAGCUGUGUGGUGCGACAUGUUUACAGUCCCAUUACUGGGCUGUUCUUGGUGUUGCGGGCGUCUUGGGUUUAGCAGAUGCAGUCUGUCAGUCAACAUUGUUUGGAUUGACGAGUCAUGCUUUGCCUCCUUUGUACACUCAGGGAUUGAUGUUUGGUGCAAGUCUGUGUGGUUUCCUUGUGACUCUCCUUCGAAUUAUWACCAAAAGUACCACUACCAAAAUGAACAUUUCCAGUUACUAUUACUUUGGUGCCACCUCUUUCUUCAUYGCYAUUGCUAUUGGYCUUUUCAUCCGACUUACAAAAGGCAGGGCUUUCCAAAGAUACUAUUACCGYGCAGCAAAAUACAACUUGGAUAAAGAUUUAAGGCAUCCUUUUAAGAGACUUGCUUGCUUCUCCUUUGAAGCUAUCAAAGUUCUUAGUUACAAGCGAGUUUUUUGUUAUUGCUUCCUUUUAAUGACAAUUCAACUACAGCUGUUUAUGGUGAUGCCUUCGGUGGUAACCAUGGCAAAGGAUUUCCUUGGCAAUGGCUGGUACCCAGUCCUUCUYGUCCUGGUGUACAAUAUAGGUGAUGUGAUUGGUCGCGGCCCUAUGUCCUUGUACUACAACUAUARCCUCUGCUGGGCGUGGCUCUCCACGUUUGUACGAUUUUCAYUGGUUAUAGGUAUAUGUCUUAGYGUUCCUCCCUACAUGUUAAGUCGACGCCCGGCCUGGAUGGCGACGUUUGUUGGCCUAUUGGGGCUCUCAACUGGACAUUUGAACACAUCCUUAAUGUCUCAUGCAUCAAUAGAUGUACCYGGUAAAGCAAAAGAGACUGUAGGAUACCUUGGAGUACUUAGUAUGACAUUGGGUAUGGCACUGGGGAGUGCAUUAAGCCUGGGACUUAAAGCAUUGAUUGAAAGAGUUAAUURAUUAAGUGACACACUUUUAAGCAGAACAUUUAGUGUAAGACAGCUUGAUGUGAAUAAUCCAAUGACAAUAAGCAAUGAGAACAGAAACAGGAAUUAAAAAACAACAGGCAAAUGAGCAAAAGGUCGAAAGGGAUGCUGGUGGACUAGUCCCUAGUGUAAAGAUAGUGCUGGGAACUACAAAAAAUGAAGUAUUUAACCCUCAAAAGCCCAUGAAUAAUAAUAAUAAUAAUGAAAGCUUAAUUUCUUUGUUUUCCAUUUGUAGUUAUGAACUUGUAUCCAUUAAAUAGCAAAUUGGAAUUGUAUUUUUUCACAGGUUUUUGAAAACCAUCCUUCGCUAGUGAAAAUAGAUAGAGAAUAUAAGAAGUUAAUUUAAUUCUUUUAAAUAAUUUUAAAAUAGUUUUUAUUUAGUGUGGUUUUCAAAAAACCAUGUGAGGUCAUUAAACCCAUGAAAAAAACUUUAACCAUUAAUGUGUGAUAGUCAAAUAGACACAAACGAAAACAAUGAAAUUAGAGUUUACUUAGGUAUCAGUGUAUAUAUAUUUCACGGGUUGUUUGACUUCACUCGUAAUACAGUGCAAAUGACAUCCCAAUAGAAUAGAUAAAAAAUAACAAAACUGGUGAAAUGUUUACUUUCACUUUAGAUCUCACUUAGAAAUCACUGUAAUUCUAUAACUCACAGUCCACACUGGAGUGAGAUGAACCAGUGAGCACGAACGAUAGUUGUCUGUGAAUAAUUUAUUGUGUGUAGGCGUGAAGGUUUUUAUUGUAAUUUGCAUGCUUACUGGUUAUGUCUCUAUUUGACAUUAGUGGUGGUUACCUUUCAGAAUAGUGCAGGUAAUUAUGAACGACAAUCAUGCACUUAAUUUGUGAAAUAGUGACUAAUUUUGUUGCUCCGAAUAUGGUUUUAUUAUGAACUAAAUACAUGAACAUGAACACACCAGGGAUAUUUAUUACUUUUUCAUUUUGUUUAAUUGAUCAAUAGACCAAUCCAGCAUUCGCUUGGAUGAACAAGGAACAAUGGCUUCAUUUCGAGGCUGGAG
Exaiptasia diaphana is the source of this 2630-nucleotide RNA transcript. It is a transcript of the gene named equilibrative nucleotide transporter 8-like, with no coding region annotated. The record is from RefSeq and is a predicted model, not a curated record. The transcript has 3 exons. NCBI's taxonomy places the organism in Eukaryota, Metazoa, Cnidaria, Anthozoa, Actiniaria, Aiptasiidae.